RNAcentral lists this ribosomal RNA (901 nucleotides) under uncultured bacterium. Its description in RNAcentral is "bacterial SSU rRNA". It matches the Rfam family "Bacterial small subunit ribosomal RNA", at positions 505 to 1402 of the family's 1533-position model. The record is from RNAcentral.
GUUUCAGCCGCCGCGGCAAUACGUAGGGUGCGAGCGUUAUCCGGAAUUAUUGGGCGUAAAGAGCUCGUAGGCGGCUNGUCGCGUCUGUCGUGAAAGUCCGGGGCUUAACCCCGGAUCUGCGGUGGGUACGGGCAGACUAGAGUGCAGUAGGGGAGACUGGAAUUCCUGGUGUAGCGGUGGAAUGCGCAGAUAUCAGGAGGAACACCGAUGGCGAAGGCAGGUCUCUGGGCUGUAACUGACGCUGAGGAGCGAAAGCAUGGGGAGCGAACAGGAUUAGAUACCCUGGUAGUCCAUGCCGUAAACGUUGGGCACUAGGUGUGGGGACCAUUCCACGGUUUCCGCGCCGCAGCUAACGCAUUAAGUGCCCCGCCUGGGGAGUACGGCCGCAAGGCUAAAACUCAAAGGAAUUGACGGGGGCCCGCACAAGCGGCGGAGCAUGCGGAUUAAUUCGAUGCAACGCGAAGAACCUUACCAAGGCUUGACAUGUUCUCGAUCGCCGUAGAGAUACGGUUUCCCCUUUGGGGUGGGUUCACAGGUGGUGCAUGGUUGUCGUCAGCUCGUGUCGUGAGAUGUUGGGUUAAGUCCCGCAACGAGCGCAACCCUCGUUCCAUGUUGCCAGCACGUCGUGGUGGGGACUCAUGGGAGACUGCCGGGGUCAACUCGGAGGAAGGUGAGGACGACGUCAAAUCAUCAUGCCCCUUAUGUCUUGGGCUUCACGCAUGCUACAAUGGCCGGUACAAUGGGUUGCGAUACUGUGAGGUGGAGCUAAUCCCAAAAAGCCGGUCUCAGUUCGGAUUGGGGUUUGCAACUCGACCCCAUGAAGUCGGAGUCGCUAGUAAUCGCAGAUCAGCAACGUUGCGGUGAAUACGUUCCCGGGCCUUGUACACACCGCCCGUCAAAC